This 505-nucleotide ribosomal RNA is filed under the name uncultured bacterium. RNAcentral describes it as "partial 16S ribosomal RNA". It matches the Rfam family "Bacterial small subunit ribosomal RNA", at positions 30 to 523 of the family's 1533-position model. The record is from RNAcentral.
AUUGAACGCUGGCGGCAUGCCUUACACAUGCAAGUCGAACGUCAGCACGGGUGCUUGCACCUGGUGGCGAGUGGCGAACGGGUGAGUAAUACAUCGGAACGUACCUUAUCGUGGGGGAUAACAAAUUGAAAAAUUUGCUAAUACCGCAUAAUACUCUGAGGAGGAAAGCAGGAGAUUCGUAAGAACCUCUUGCGAUUAGAGCGGCCGAUGGCUGAUUUGCUAGUUGGUGAGGUAAAGGCCCACCAAGGCAACGAUCAGUAGCAGGUCUGAGAGGAUGAUCUGCCACAAUGGAACUGAGAAACGGUCCAGACUCCUACGGGAGGCAGCAGUGGGGAAUUUUGGACAAUGGACGAAAGUCUGAUCCAGCAAUGCCGCGUGAGUGAAGAAGGCCUUCGGGUUGUAAAGCUCUUUUGUCAGUGAAGAAAACUUUAGUAAUAACACUAUUAAAGCAUGACGGUAACUGAAGAAUAAGGACCGGCUAACUACGUGACAGCCGCCGCCGUAA